CCCCUCUCAGGGUCUCACCUGGAGAGUUUCCAGUCCUCUACCAGUCUCAACUUUGGGAGGGAGAGUCCAGCAGAGGCAUACCCAUUCCAUUCCUAGCUUGGCCAGUGGCCAGUGAGUGGAAGGCAUUCUGCUACAGGU
This is a small nucleolar RNA of Tachyglossus aculeatus (Australian echidna), 138 nucleotides long. NCBI's taxonomy places the organism in Eukaryota, Metazoa, Chordata, Mammalia, Monotremata, Tachyglossidae. The record is from RefSeq and is a predicted model, not a curated record.